This 221-nucleotide long non-coding RNA is filed under the name Solanum tuberosum (potato). Its description in RNAcentral is "long non-coding RNA (STUB_LNC008209)". The record is from RNAcentral. Lineage: Eukaryota; Viridiplantae; Streptophyta; Magnoliopsida; Solanales; Solanaceae.
ACAGGGGCAAAAGGGAGAGGGAGAGAGAGGGCGAGAGAGAGAGGGCAAUGGGAGGAGAGAGGGAGAGAGGAGAGAUAAAUUUGCUAUAAAAUCCUGCAUAUAGCUAUAAAUUGUAAUAUUUUAAACUAUAAUGACUUAUCGUAAAUAUAUAUCACAUGCUUGUCUUCUUGUUGUGUAAUUUUUCCUAGAAAAAACUUCUUUGUUAUUAUGCACAACAAGCU